GAUGGUGUGGGGCGUGCGGUCUCCUCUGCUCCCUCACCACCCAUUACUUCUCGGCUCACUCGCAACGGAAAAAUAAACAAGAAUGCAGGAAGCCCAGCAAGCACACGCGACCAAACACUUGCGCGCGUGCGGACGUGCGCGUUACACGGCGGUUUGCCGCCCUAUUCACCUUGCUCUCCUCCACGGCGUGUGUCGUUUUGUUUCGAAAGGCACUCCGCUCAGCCCAGCUCUUCCCAGUGCCGCGUCUACAACAGACGCCGCGGCUGGCGCCGCUCUGAGACUGAGGAUCGGCACGCAGUGCCCUCUUGUCCAUACGGACAUCUCCGCACACACAUUUUGUGCGUGAGUUUCUGCCUGUGCGUGUGCGAUCGGGGGGGGGGGAGUAGAGCAGAAAAUGGACUCGUUCGAAAUAGCGCUGGACGAACUCGACGCCACCCUCGCUGCGCUCAGGUUGAAAGUCGAGAUGGUGAUCAUCACCGAUACGCUUCCUGAGAAGAAAAAAGUAGAGAUGGAGGCGCGCCCGCUGAUGCGAGAGGCGCGGCAGAAGCUGGCUGCCCUGCGUGCCGAGACCCGUCGUACCCUGGACCUGGAUGCGCGGCAGGCUCAUGAGGGCAUCUGCAAGGAUCGCGACCAGACCAUCCGCAACUACGAUGCGGAGAUGAAGAACCAGAUUUAUCCCCGUCACUCGGUGUCUGCGCGACCGAAGACGUACCAGGAGCAGCGUGAGGAGGAGAUGAUGGGCCGUGGCAGGACAGACGGCACGGGGUUCACAGACUCGAAGCAGGUGCUGAAUGCGGCCAUCAACGUGCAGAAGGACGCGCUUCAGUCCCUCCAGCGUACAGAGCGGUUGCAGAAUGUGACGGAGGAGGCGGGCAAGACAACGUUAGUGGAGCUUCAGAAGCAGACGGAGCGCAUGUACCACAUCGACGAGGAGCUGCAGAACUUGCAGGGCCAGAUCGACCACGCCUCGCGUGAUUUGCGCUGGUUCUACCGCCAGCUGGCACGCGACAAGUGCUUUCUCUCUUUAUUUGGGCUGUGCAUCGUGGCGCUGCUUGUGCUGGUCUUUGUGUCCAUCUGGACAAAACGCAUGAGGUCUAAGCAAUGAAGAGAGAAGCUCUUUCUGUGUGGACUCCUCAGCAUGGCGACAGUGGGGGGGGCAUAUCAGGCGGGAUGACCUCUGCGUGAAGCGGGAUGGGAUGCAAGACCGAAAGGGCGGAACAGGGGGAAAAGGGGGGGGGGCGGGUUGUAUCCGGCAGCACCUGCCGCUGCUGCGGCACUCCGUGUAAACUUGCCGACCACCCCUCUUUUUCUCUUUCUCACAUUGAAUUGCGUGUGCGUGCCCACGCACAUGCACGCCAACUGUUUCCAUAGUGUGUCUUCUCUCUUGCCACGCCGCCCACCUCCACCCUUCGCCUUGCCGCUUUUUCCUCCCCAUAAUUCUUACCUUUUCGAUUUAUGCGUUGGGUCUCCUCGCUGCUGUUGCUACUUGUUUUGUGAUGAGAGAGGUGAGGGAGGGGUAAGACUGCUUUGAGCCCCGCCACCCUCUACUGCUUCUCGCUCUUCUCUCGCUAAUUCUGUGUUGUUGCGUUUCCUUUCAGGCGUGCGAGUCCGCGCUACUCCUCCGUCUUCGUUGGGCGGCUCGAUGUCUGAAGCGCCCCUCCUGUCUACCUCUUGGCGACUUUGUCUCAUCGCAGAGAUUAUGUUUUCCUCUGUGUUUUGUCUCGUUGCUUGCACUCCCACAUGCACAUGCACGCACACGUAUACAUGCACGCAUACAUAUGUAUGCCUUUGCUGAUAUCUGUUCUCCUCAUCUCUGGCCUUGCGGCUUCUCCGAGAUACAACGACGAUGUAGAUGGGGAAGGCAUGCACAUGUGUGUACACAGAUGCUUCUAUGCAUGUGGAUGUAUUUGUGUAGGUGACACGGAUGCCUCGUGUGUGUGUGCAUGCUUUGUAGUCCACGCUUGCGGGCUGAACAAG
RNAcentral lists this unclassified non-coding RNA (1977 nucleotides) under Leishmania donovani. Its description in RNAcentral is "gene:LdHU3.07.0700(CDS-product:QA-SNARE_protein_p utative)". Lineage: Eukaryota; Euglenozoa; Kinetoplastea; Trypanosomatida; Trypanosomatidae. The record is from RNAcentral.